Molecule: transfer RNA, 96 nt
Filed under: Micromonospora andamanensis
Lineage: Bacteria; Bacillati; Actinomycetota; Actinomycetes; Micromonosporales; Micromonosporaceae
Description: tRNA-Arg
Source: RNAcentral
GACGUUCGGGUCGUGGCCGGCGCGGCGGACCGUGUCCUGGACGGCGUUGUCGGCGGCGGUACGCAGCAGCGCCGGUACGACCCCGGCGAGCAGCGC